AGAGCCAGCUGGGCGGCCGCGUUGCGUAAGCACCGAGGAACGUCCGGGCUCCACAGGGAACGGUGGUGGGUAACACCCACCCGGGGUGACCCGCGGGAAAGCGCCACAGAAAAGAAACCGCCGCAAGGUAAGGGUGAAAAGGUGGUGUAAGAGACCACCGCGGCGCCGGUGACGGCGCUGGCACGGCAAGCCCCACCGGGAGCAAGAUCAGGCAGCGCGCAUUCGAGGUAUCCCGCCGAGCGCGCGGGUGGAUCGCUACAGCGCUACGGCGCGAGCAGUGGCCCGGCAACGAGUCACGUAGAUGGAUGGUCGCCACCGGGUAGAUAUAAGCGCUUGGCGCCAAUAUCUACCCGGUACAGAACCCGGCGUACAGGCUGGCUCUUUCG
This is a non-coding RNA of Actinobaculum suis, 386 nucleotides long. Lineage: Bacteria; Bacillati; Actinomycetota; Actinomycetes; Actinomycetales; Actinomycetaceae. The record is from Rfam.